Molecule: ribosomal RNA, 253 nt
Filed under: uncultured bacterium
Lineage: Bacteria
Description: partial 16S ribosomal RNA
Rfam family: Bacterial small subunit ribosomal RNA
Source: RNAcentral
UACAGAGGUCUCAACCGUUGUUCGGAUUCAUUGGGCGUAAAGGGUGCGUAGGCGGUCGCGUAAGUCAGGUGUGAAAUCUCAGGGCUCAACCCUGAAACUGCACUUGAUACUGCGUGGCUCGGGUACUGGAGAGGAGACUGGAAUUCCCGGUGUAGUGGUGAAAUGCGUAGAGAUCGGGAGGAACACCAGUGGCGAAGGCGGCCUUCUGGGCAUUUCCUGACGCUGAGGCGCGAAAGCGUGGGGAGCGAACCGG